RNAcentral lists this unclassified non-coding RNA (323 nucleotides) under uncultured Nocardiaceae bacterium. RNAcentral describes it as "contains 16S-23S intergenic spacer region". It matches the Rfam family "Bacterial small subunit ribosomal RNA", at positions 903 to 1199 of the family's 1533-position model. The record is from RNAcentral. Lineage: Bacteria; Bacillati; Actinomycetota; Actinomycetes; Mycobacteriales; Nocardiaceae.
UCCGGUUUGUACCGGCGGUCCCGCCAGACAUAGGAAUUGACGGGGGCCCGCACAAGCGGCGGAGCAUGUGGAUUAAUUCGAUGCAACGCGAAGAACCUUACCUGGGUUUGACAUAUACCGGAAAGCCGUAGAGAUACGGCCCCCCUUGUGGUCGGUAUACAGGUGGUGCAUGGCUGUCGUCAGCUCGUGUCGUGAGAUGUUGGGUUAAGUCCCGCAACGAGCGCAACCCUUGUCCUGUGUUGCCAGCGCGUAAUGGCGGGGACUCGCAGGAGACUGCCGGGGUCAACUCGGAGGAAGGUGGGGAUGACGUAUAGGAGCUCGAC